This 483-nucleotide ribosomal RNA is filed under the name uncultured bacterium. Its description in RNAcentral is "bacterial SSU rRNA". It matches the Rfam family "Bacterial small subunit ribosomal RNA", at positions 29 to 507 of the family's 1533-position model. The record is from RNAcentral.
AAUGAACGCUGGCGGCGUGGAUUAGGCAUGCAAGUCGAACGCGAAAGUUCCCUUCGGGGAGCGAGUAGAGUGGCGAAAGGGUGAGUAAUGCUUGGAUGACCUGCCCUCGAGACGGGGACAACAGUUCGAAAGGACUGCUAAUACCCGAUAGUCCGGUUUAGAUGCGUCUAGAUCGGUAAAUGGUGCUUCCGCUCGAGGAGGGGUUCAAGUCCUAUCAGCUUGUUGGUGAGGUAACGGCUCACCAAGGCGAUGACGGGUAGCCGGACUGAGAGGUUGGCCGGCCACAUGGGAACUGAGACACUGUCCUGACUCCUACGGGAGGCUGCAGUCGAGGAUCUUCUGCAAUGGGCGAAAGCCUGACAGAGCGACGCCGCGUGGAGGAUGAAGGCCCUCGGGUCGUAAAUUCCUGUCACAUGUUAUGAAACGCACAGGUCUACCUGUGCGCUGACAAAAGCAUGAGAGGAAUUCACGGCUAACUUCGUG